Molecule: transfer RNA, 65 nt
Filed under: Aleochara sp. 3 EF-2015
Lineage: Eukaryota; Metazoa; Arthropoda; Insecta; Coleoptera; Staphylinidae
Description: tRNA-Ile
Source: RNAcentral
AACAAGAUGCCUGACAAAAGGAUUAUUUUGAUAGAAUAAAUUAUGUAAUUUAAUUACUCUUGUUA